RNAcentral lists this ribosomal RNA (440 nucleotides) under uncultured Arcobacter sp. Its description in RNAcentral is "bacterial SSU rRNA". It matches the Rfam family "Bacterial small subunit ribosomal RNA", at positions 945 to 1382 of the family's 1533-position model. Lineage: Bacteria; Pseudomonadati; Campylobacterota; Epsilonproteobacteria; Campylobacterales; Arcobacteraceae. The record is from RNAcentral.
UUUAAUUCGUACGAUACGCGAAGAACCUUACCUGGCCUUGACAUACUAAAAAGCUUUAAGAGAUUAGAGUGUGCUAGCUUGCUAGAAUUUAGAUACAGGUGCUGCACGGCUGUCGUCAGCUCGUGUCGUGAGAUGUUGGGUUAAGUCCCGCAACGAGCGCAACCUCGUGUUUAGUUGCUAACAGUUCGGCUGAGAACUCUAAACAGACUGCCUACGCAAGUAGGAGGAAGGUGAGGACGACGUCAAGUCAUCAUGGCCCUUACGGCCAGGGCUACACACGUGCUACAAUGGGGUAUACAAAGAGCAGCGAUACGGUGACGUGGAGCAAAUCUAGAAAAUGCCUCUCAGUUCGGAUUGUAGUCUGCAACUCGACUACAUGAAGUUGGAAUCGCUAGUAAUCGUAGAUCAGCAAUGCUACGGUGAAUACGUUCCCGGGUCUU